UUUUGGGCUAAAAUCCAAUUAUACUACCCCACCCGACCCAAACACAACCCUAAAUUCUUCAACUAGCGGCGCUGUUCUUCAUUUCUCCACAAUCCCUCACCACUCUCUUCUACCUUUUCAUUUUUCUUUUCUGGUUACAAUCAAAUCAAUUAUUUUUCAACCUGUUUGAAAAAAAAGUUUUAAUUUUUCAUUCGAUUCAUGAAGCAAGUUUUUCAAUUUUUCAUCUGGGUUUGUCUUUCUAUGCAUAUACUUAGAUCUGAAAUGACAAGGAAAUGAUGGGUUAUAGUAAAAGGUUUGAGUUGGAAGAAUAUAUAUUUGUGUAGUAGUAGUGACAGUAAUUGAAGUUUUUAAGAAAAAAAAAACAAAAUUUGGAGAUGGCCCCUGUCCUUUGUUUAGUUAUUGCACUGUGACAUUCGCAACGUCUUCUAUAUCAAAUUGAAAGGGGUUGUAACAAAAGGCGUGGGUUGCAUUCUAGUAUGGAAUGAUAAUCUAGACUUCUCCCCACAGUUUUUAAUCACUUCAAUUACUUGUCUAUUACUGUCACUGUUCUUCCUGCGAUGAUUACAAUCUUUCUUCUGAUCCUUGUCAUUAAUUAUACACAGUUUUUUUAUUAUAAGUUUUUUAGUACUUUUACAUUGUUUUGGUUGUUUUCUUGAUACCUGCUCUGUCCAUUUGCGCCGAGAUAAAAGGUCACCCUGCAAUACCUAAUUGUCAAUAUUAUUCAUGUCAUAAUAUGAACCAUCAAUAAAAUCUCCUAGUUCUAUCAAAAUAGAAUAAAAAAUUGUCGCAAAGUCUCAUUAUCCGAUGUAUCAAUUCUUCCAAAUCUGUAGAUAUGAGAAAGUAUUAAGUUUAACAUAGAAUAACAUUGAAUAUCACAUGUUUAUGUUAGUAUGGGAACCUAAUUUAAGGGGAUUUGUAAUUGGAUGUCUUUGAUACAUUCAUGGAGAGCUUCUUAAUACAAUUUUGUUGUUGUUUGUUUCAUCGCUUUUAUCUUUAAUUUAUUUUUGAUCAUUGAGUCUUCUUUAUGAUUGUAGAUUUUUGAAUCAAAUUUUGAUGGUAGGAUAACGAUGAGAAAAUGCAAGCCUUACUUCCAGGGGAACAAGGUAAUGGGGAGACAAACUACCCCCACUUGGUAGGAAGAAUAGUGUCAAGAUCUGUCGAGUGAUUACAAUACCCCUACUUGGUACGAAGAAUAAUGUCAUGAUUUGUCGAGUGAUUAUAAUACGACUUACAUUUCCUCCUAAGGAGAGACAUAAGCUCUUAGUUGCUAAACUCCUUACUAAGUGAGAAAGCUUCUUACAUAUGGAACUUGUUAAUAGGGGUGGCAAAACGGGU
Molecule: long non-coding RNA, 1335 nt
Filed under: Lathyrus oleraceus (garden pea)
Lineage: Eukaryota; Viridiplantae; Streptophyta; Magnoliopsida; Fabales; Fabaceae
Description: Pisum sativum (pea) long non-coding RNA (PSAT_LNC015803)
Source: RNAcentral